Molecule: ribosomal RNA, 497 nt
Filed under: uncultured bacterium
Lineage: Bacteria
Description: partial 16S ribosomal RNA
Rfam family: Bacterial small subunit ribosomal RNA
Source: RNAcentral
GAUGAACGCUGGCGGCGUGCCUAAUACAUGCAAGUCGAGCGAACGGACGAGAAGCUUGCUUCUCUGAUGUUAGCGGCGGACGGGUGAGUAACACGUGGAUAACCUACCUAUAAGACUGGGAUAACUUCGGGAAACCGGAGCUAAUACCGGAUAAUAUUUUGAACCGCAUGGUUCAAAAGUGAAAGACGGUCUUGCUGUCACUUAUAGAUGGAUCCGCGCUGCAUUAGCUAGUUGGUAAGGUAACGGCUUACCAAGGCGACGAUGCAUAGCCGAUCUGAGAGGAUGAUCGGCCACACUGGAACUGAGACACGGUCCAGACUCCUACGGGAGGCAGCAGUAGGGAAUCUUCCGCAAUGGGCGAAAGCCUGACGGAGCAACGCCGCGUGAGUGAUGAAGGUCUUCGGAUCGUAAAACUCUGUUAUUAGGGAAGAACAUAUGUGUAAGUAACUGUGCACAUCUUGACGGUACCUAAUCAGAAAGCCACGGCUAACUACGUG